AGGGUAAUAGCUCAACAGUAGAGCACACGCUUAGCAUGCAUGAGGUCCUGGGUUCAAUCCACAGUACCUCCA
RNAcentral lists this transfer RNA (72 nucleotides) under Camelus bactrianus (Bactrian camel). It matches the Rfam family "tRNA". Rfam says of the family: Transfer RNA (tRNA) molecules are approximately 80 nucleotides in length. Their secondary structure includes four short double-helical elements and three loops (D, anti-codon, and T loops). Further hydrogen bonds mediate the characteristic L-shaped molecular structure. tRNAs have two regions of fundamental functional importance: the anti-codon, which is responsible for specific mRNA codon recognition, and the 3' end, to which the tRNAs corresponding amino acid is attached (by aminoacyl-tRNA synthetases). tRNAs cope with the degeneracy of the genetic code in two manners: having more than one tRNA (with a specific anti-codon) for a particular amino acid; and 'wobble' base-pairing, i.e. permitting non-standard base-pairing at the 3rd anti-codon position. RNAcentral also lists the same sequence under 2 other names. Lineage: Eukaryota; Metazoa; Chordata; Mammalia; Artiodactyla; Camelidae. The record is from Rfam by way of RNAcentral.